This 603-nucleotide ribosomal RNA is filed under the name Salmonella enterica subsp. enterica serovar Infantis. Its description in RNAcentral is "partial 23S ribosomal RNA". It matches the Rfam family "Bacterial large subunit ribosomal RNA", at positions 586 to 1190 of the family's 2925-position model. The record is from RNAcentral. Lineage: Bacteria; Pseudomonadati; Pseudomonadota; Gammaproteobacteria; Enterobacterales; Enterobacteriaceae.
UACCUGUGUGACUGCGUACCUUUUGUAUAAUGGGUCAGCGACUUAUAUUCUGUAGCAAGGUUAACCGAAUAGGGGAGCCGGAGGGAAACCGAGUCUUAACCGGGCGUUAAGUUGCAGGGUAUAGACCCGAAACCCGGUGAUCUAGCCAUGGGCAGGUUGAAGGUUGGGUAACACUAACUGGAGGACCGAACCGACUAAUGUUGAAAAAUUAGCGGAUGACCUGUGGCUGGGGGUGAAAGGCCAAUCAAACCGGGAGAUAGCUGGUUCUCCCCGAAAGCUAUUUAGGUAGCGCCUCGUGAAUUCAUCUCCGGGGGUAGAGCACUGUUUCGGCUAGGGGGCCAUCCCGGCUUACCAACCCGAUGCAAACUGCGAAUACCGGAGAAUGUUAUCACGGGAGACACACGGCGGGUGCUAACGUCCGUCGUGAAGAGGGAAACAACCCAGACCGCCAGCUAAGGUCCCAAAGUCAUGGUUAAGUGGGAAACGAUGUGGGAAGGCCCAGACAGCCAGGAUGUUGGCUUAGAAGCAGCCAUCAUUUAAAGAAAGCGUAAUAGCUCACUGGUCGAGUCGGCCUGCGCGGAAGAUGUAACGGGGCUAAACCAU